This 482-nucleotide ribosomal RNA is filed under the name uncultured bacterium. RNAcentral's name for it is "partial 16S ribosomal RNA". It matches the Rfam family "Bacterial small subunit ribosomal RNA", at positions 30 to 507 of the family's 1533-position model. The record is from RNAcentral.
AUUGAACGCUGGCGGCAUGCCUUACACAUGCAAAUCGAACGGUAACGGGCCUUCGGGUGCCGACGAGUGGCGAACGGGUGAGUAAUACAUCGGAACGUGCCCGAUCGCGGGGGAUAACGAGGCGAAAGCUUUGCUAAUACCGCAUACGAUCUACGGAUGAAAGCCGGGGACCGCAAUGCCUUGCGCGGACGGAGCGGCCGAUGGCAGAUUAGGUAGUUGGUGGGAUAAAAGCUUACCAAGCCGACGAUCUGUAGCUGGUCUGAGAGGAUGAUCAGCCACACUGGGACUGAGACACGGCCCAGACUCCUACGGGAGGCAGCAGUGGGGAAUUUUGGACAAUGGGCGCAAGCCUGAUCCAGCCAUGCCGCGUGCAGGAUGAAGGCCUUCGGGUUGUAAACUGAUUUUGUACGGAACGAAAAGCCUUCUUUUAAUACAGGAGGGUCAUGACGGUACCGUAAGAAUAAGCACCGGCUAACUACGUG